UAACGCGAAGAACCUUACCAUCCUUUGACAUGGCGUGUUACCCUGAGAGAUCUGGGGUCCCCUUCGGGGGCGCGCACACAGGUGCUGCAUGGCUGUCGUCAGCUCGUGUCGUGAGAUGUUGGGUUAAGUCCCGCAACGAGCGCAACCCACGUCCUUAGUUGCCAUCAUUCAGUUGGGCACUCUAGGGAGACUGCCGGUGAUAAGCCGCGAGGAAGGUGUGGAUGACGUCAAGUCCUCAUGGCCCUUACGGGAUGGGCUACACACGUGCUACAAUGGCGGUGACAGUGGGAGGCGAAGGAGCGAUCUGGAGCAAAUCCCCAAAAGCCGUCUCAGUUCGGAUUGCACUCUGCAACUCGAGUGCAUGAAGGCGGAAUCGCUAGUAAUCGUGGAUCAGCAUGCCACGGUGAAUACGUUCCCGGGUCUUGUACACACCGA
This 435-nucleotide ribosomal RNA is filed under the name uncultured Methylobacterium sp. RNAcentral's name for it is "bacterial SSU rRNA". It matches the Rfam family "Bacterial small subunit ribosomal RNA", at positions 957 to 1393 of the family's 1533-position model. The record is from RNAcentral. Lineage: Bacteria; Pseudomonadati; Pseudomonadota; Alphaproteobacteria; Hyphomicrobiales; Methylobacteriaceae.